Molecule: long non-coding RNA, 735 nt
Organism: Callorhinchus milii (elephant shark)
Lineage: Eukaryota; Metazoa; Chordata; Chondrichthyes; Chimaeriformes; Callorhinchidae
Exons: 11
Source: RefSeq, a predicted model, not a curated record
CUUUCGGUGCCGACGACGGGGAAAGGAGGUUAAGCGAUCCGCUCCCGGUGCCUUGAGAUGGCUGCAAGUUUUCGCGUGCAGGUCGAUGGGGCAGUACGCAUUUUCACCUGGAGUGAAGGAGACCCCGAAAGCCAAGGUCUUGAGCUAAUAAUAUGAACCAGUGUGUAGAAUAGAACCAUAGAAACGUACAGCACAGAAGAAGGCCAUUUGACCACCAGUGCUGAUGCUAUGGGUGGAACAGGUUAGAUGAUCCCUGUGUCCAACAUGCCCGCAAGCUUUCGUUAACAGGUGAUUGGGGCAGUACAUGUUUUCACCUGGAGUGAGAGUGAUGCCAUACACUAGGAUCUUGAGGUUAGAUGAUCCCAGUGUCCAACAUGCCCGCAAGCUUUCGUUAACAGGUGAAUGGGGCAGUACAUGUUUUCACCUGGAGUGAGAGUGAUGCCAUACACUAGGAUCUUGAGGCUAAACAAUCCCAGUGUCUAAAGUGGCCCCCAACUUUUCGUGAGCAGGUCAGCAACCAUUUGUAAUCAACGUGAAAAUGCCAGAAACAAACAUUUCAGGAGCAGGGCAGGGUGCGAGUUUCACGUCAGUCGUUCUGCAGUGAUGACUUCAAAAACGUGGAUUGUUAUUAUUAUACGUGUUUAAUGUGAACUGCUUGUACUUGUAUAAUAAACAUUUAUCUCAUACAGCAGUUUUGUAUCGAGCAUUUUCAAUUAAAUAGCUUCAGAAAUUGUA